GUCUAUGACCUGGUCCGCGUGCUUAAUAACGUCUGUCCUGUUGGCGGCCCGAGAGCUCUGUUCUAGGAGAAGAAACGACGAAAAAUGGGCUACAAAGUGCUUCAGUCAUUCGACAAGAACAUGCUCUGUCUUACGUCUGUGUCUCCCAAACAGGACUUUUCCUGGUAUAAUAGUGUCUUCCCUUUAAUAAAUAGAUUUAAUCCAGUUAUAUUUGGGAGGAUUAUGAAUAUUGUGACAUAGGUUUCCACAAUCUUCGCCAGGCAGCACUGGAGAAUACGACUCCCAAGAUGACAUACCUUUGCCAGUAAUCAAAGCCAGUGACUUGACGACUCAGGUGAUUCAUCUCAACCAAAAGAAAGAUUUGUGCCGUUCUGGACAACAAAAACUUUGCAAAACUAUGAUUGAUUGCUUCAUUUCAUCAGCCUCCUCUUUGCUGGUCAUGAUGUCAGUCUUCCUUGGCAUCAAUUUCAGACAUAGAGAAGCACAUUAAAAAGUAUGAAUAAAUGAAGAUGUUAGAGAAAAAAGAAACAUUAUUUGCCUUUCCAUCAGCAACUGAAGGUGAGCCCAUUGCAAACGAACCUACAAGAGAGAGACAGCAUCAGACUGACACUUCCCACGCUGCAAUGUUAAGCCUUUAAAAUACAACAAUCAGAUUUUAAAAGUUCUAACUCUUGAGUAUUUAAAAUAAAAUUUCAGAUGUUCUGUUGUAUCCCAGAAGUUUACUUUAUGAGCGUUAUUUAUGGUAGGUCCAAUAUUGGUUUUUAAUA
This is a long non-coding RNA of Mustela lutreola (European mink), 767 nucleotides long. RefSeq lists it as uncharacterized. The record is from RefSeq and is a predicted model, not a curated record. NCBI's taxonomy places the organism in Eukaryota, Metazoa, Chordata, Mammalia, Carnivora, Mustelidae. The transcript has 4 exons.